Molecule: ribosomal RNA, 301 nt
Filed under: uncultured bacterium
Lineage: Bacteria
Description: partial 16S ribosomal RNA
Rfam family: Bacterial small subunit ribosomal RNA
Source: RNAcentral
CAGCAGCCGCGGUAAUACGUAGGGUGCAAGCGUUAAUCGGAAUUACUGGGCGUAAAGCGUGCGCAGGCGGUUUGUUAAGACAGAUGUGAAAUCCCCGGGCUCAACCUGGGAACUGCAUUUGUGACUGGCAAGCUAGAGUAUGGCAGAGGGGGGUGGAAUUCCGCGUGUAGCAGUGAAAUGCGUAGAUAUGCGGAGGAACACCGAUGGCGAAGGCAGCCCCCUGGGCCAAUACUGACGCUCAUGCACGAAAGCGUGGGGAGCAAACAGGAUUAGAUACCCGCGUAGUCCCUGUCUCUUAUAC